RNAcentral lists this ribosomal RNA (752 nucleotides) under Cordyceps farinosa. Its description in RNAcentral is "LSU rRNA". It matches the Rfam family "Eukaryotic large subunit ribosomal RNA", at positions 77 to 861 of the family's 3401-position model. Lineage: Eukaryota; Fungi; Ascomycota; Sordariomycetes; Hypocreales; Cordycipitaceae. The record is from RNAcentral.
GCCCCAGUAACGGCGAGUGAAGCGGCAACAGCUCAAAUUUGAAAUCUGGCCUCCGGGUCCGAGUUGUAAUUUGCAGAGGAUGCUUUUGGCGAGGUGCCUUCCGAGUUCCCUGGAACGGGACGCCAUAGAGGGUGAGAGCCCCGUCUGGUCGGACACCGAGCCUCUGUAAAGCUCCUUCGACGAGUCGAGUAGUUUGGGAAUGCUGCUCAAAAUGGGAGGUAUAUGUCUUCUAAAGCUAAAUAUUGGCCAGAGACCGAUAGCGCACAAGUAGAGUGAUCGAAAGAUGAAAAGCACUUUGAAAAGAGGGUUAAAAAGUACGUGAAAUUGUUGAAAGGGAAGCGCCUAUGACCAGACUUGGGCCCGGUGAAUCACCCAGCGUUCUCGCUGGUGCACUUUGCCGGGCACAGGCCAGCAUCAGUUUGGCGCGGGGGACAAAGGUUUCGGGAAUGUGGCUCCCUCGGGAGUGUUAUAGCCCGUUGCGUAAUACCCUGCGCCGGACUGAGGUACGCGCAUUGCAAGGAUGCUGGCGUAAUGGUCAUCAGCGACCCGUCUUGAAACACGGACCAAGGAGUCGUCUUCGUAUGCGAGUGUUCGGGUGUCAAACCCCUACGCGUAAUGAAAGUGAACGUAGGUGAGAGCUUCGGCGCAUCACCGACCGAUCCUGAUGUUCUCGGAUGGAUUUGAGUAAGAGCAUACGGGGCCGGACCCGAAAGAAGGUGAACUAUGCCUGUAUAGGGUGAAGCCAGAGGAAA